Molecule: non-coding RNA, 206 nt
Filed under: Clostridia bacterium
Lineage: Bacteria; Bacillati; Bacillota; Clostridia
Description: 6S RNA
Rfam family: 6S / SsrS RNA
About the family: E. coli 6S RNA was the first non coding RNA to be sequenced, but its function was unknown until recently. It consists of 184 nucleotides that fold into an extended hairpin structure with a large single-stranded internal bulge.
Source: RNAcentral
CCUAUCCUGCUCUGUUCGCGGACUGUUCUAUUAUAACCCUACAAGCUACUAAUCGGGGUCGGGAUAGUACGGUGGGCUUGCAGACCUCCCGUUAUGGCCGUGAUUCACGUUGUCAUAAUGGAAGAAGGGAGCGCGAAGCCGUGCACGAGACACCCACCUGCCUUUCGCAGGUUAUCAUUAGCGCAUUACGGCAGAGCGGGGUUCCA